RNAcentral lists this ribosomal RNA (218 nucleotides) under uncultured Glomus. RNAcentral describes it as "partial 18S ribosomal RNA". It matches the Rfam family "Eukaryotic small subunit ribosomal RNA", at positions 548 to 770 of the family's 1831-position model. Lineage: Eukaryota; Fungi; Glomeromycota; Glomeromycetes; Glomerales; Glomeraceae. The record is from RNAcentral.
UUGGAGGGCAAGUCUGGUGCCAGCAGCCGCGGUAAUUCCAGCUCCAAUAGCGUAUAUUAAAGUUGUUGCAGUUAAAAAGCUCGUAGUUGAAUUUCGGGACCAAUUUGUUGGUCGUGCCUCGGUACGUACUGGUAUUAUUGGUUUCUCCCUUCUGAGAACCUUGAUGUCAUUAAUUUGGUGUCUUGGGGAAUCAGGACUGUUACUUUGAAAAAAUUUAG